Molecule: ribosomal RNA, 1386 nt
Filed under: Staphylococcus aureus
Lineage: Bacteria; Bacillati; Bacillota; Bacilli; Caryophanales; Staphylococcaceae
Description: bacterial SSU rRNA
Rfam family: Bacterial small subunit ribosomal RNA
Source: RNAcentral
CGGACGAGAAGCUUGCUUCUCUGAUGUUAGCGGCGGACGGGUGAGUAACACGUGGAUAACCUACCUAUAAGACUGGGAUAACUUCGGGAAACCGGAGCUAAUACCGGAUAAUAUUUUGAACCGCAUGGUUCAAAAGUGAAAGACGGUCUUGCUGUCACUUAUAGAUGGAUCCGCGCUGCAUUAGCUAGUUGGUAAGGUAACGGCUUACCAAGGCAACGAUGCAUAGCCGACCUGAGAGGGUGAUCGGCCACACUGGAACUGAGACACGGUCCAGACUCCUACGGGAGGCAGCAGUAGGGAAUCUUCCGCAAUGGGCGAAAGCCUGACGGAGCAACGCCGCGUGAGUGAUGAAGGUCUUCGGAUCGUAAAACUCUGUUAUUAGGGAAGAACAUAUGUGUAAGUAACUGUGCACAUCUUGACGGUACCUAAUCAGAAAGCCACGGCUAACUACGUGCCAGCAGCCGCGGUAAUACGUAGGUGGCAAGCGUUAUCCGGAAUUAUUGGGCGUAAAGCGCGCGUAGGCGGUUUUUUAAGUCUGAUGUGAAAGCCCACGGCUCAACCGUGGAGGGUCAUUGGAAACUGGAAAACUUGAGUGCAGAAGAGGAAAGUGGAAUUCCAUGUGUAGCGGUGAAAUGCGCAGAGAUAUGGAGGAACACCAGUGGCGAAGGCGACUUUCUGGUCUGUAACUGACGCUGAUGUGCGAAAGCGUGGGGAUCAAACAGGAUUAGAUACCCUGGUAGUCCACGCCGUAAACGAUGAGUGCUAAGUGUUAGGGGGUUUCCGCCCCUUAGUGCUGCAGCUAACGCAUUAAGCACUCCGCCUGGGGAGUACGACCGCAAGGUUGAAACUCAAAGGAAUUGACGGGGACCCGCACAAGCGGUGGAGCAUGUGGUUUAAUUCGAAGCAACGCGAAGAACCUUACCAAAUCUUGACAUCCUUUGACAACUCUAGAGAUAGAGCUUUCCCCUUCGGGGGACAAAGUGACAGGUGGUGCAUGGUUGUCGUCAGCUCGUGUCGUGAGAUGUUGGGUUAAGUCCCGCAACGAGCGCAACCCUUAAGCUUAGUUGCCAUCAUUAAGUUGGGCACUCUAAGUUGACUGCCGGUGACAAACCGGAGGAAGGUGGGGAUGACGUCAAAUCAUCAUGCCCCUUAUGAUUUGGGCUACACACGUGCUACAAUGGACAAUACAAAGGGCAGCGAAACCGCGAGGUCAAGCAAAUCCCAUAAAGUUGUUCUCAGUUCGGAUUGUAGUCUGCAACUCGACUACAUGAAGCUGGAAUCGCUAGUAAUCGUAGAUCAGCAUGCUACGGUGAAUACGUUCCCGGGUCUUGUACACACCGCCCGUCACACCACGAGAGUUUGUAACACCCGAAGCCGGUGGAGUAA